AGUGGCGGACGGGUGAGUAACGCGUGGGAACCUGCCUGGUGGUUGGGGAUAACUGCGGGAAACUGCAGCUAAUACCCGAUGCGCCCCCGGAGCGAUCCGGGGGGAAAGAUUGAUCGCCAUCGGAGGGGCCCGCGUCGGAUUAGGUAGUCGGUGGGGUAACGGCCUACCAAGCCUUCGAUCCGUAGCUGGUCUGAGAGGAUGAUCAGCCACACUGGGACUGAGAUACGGCCCAGACUCCUACGGGAGGCAGCAGUGGGGAAUAUUGGACAAUGGGCGCAAGCCUGAUCCAGCAAUGCCGCGUGAGUGAAGAAGGCCUUAGGGUUGUAAAGCUCUUUCGGCGAGGACGAUGAUGACGGUACCCGCAGAAGAAGCCCCGGCUAACUCCGUGCCAGCAGCCGCGGUAAUACGGAGGGGGCUAGCGUUGUUCGGAGUUACUGGGCGUAAAGGGCGCGUAGGCGGCUUUGCAAGUCAGGUGUGAAAGGCCCGGGCUCAACCCGGGGACGGCGCUUGAGACUGCUGGGCUUGGAGUCCGGGAGAGGAUGGUGGAAUUCCCAGUGUAGAGGUGAAAUUCGUAGAUAUUGGGAAGAACACCGGUGGCGAAGGCGGCCAUCUGGACCGGUACUGACGCUGAGGCGCGAAAGCGUGGGGAGCAAACAGGAUUAGAUACCCUGGUAGUCCACGCCGUAAACGAUGCGUGCUAGACGUUGGGGGGCAUGCCCUUCGGUGUCGCAGCUAACGCGGGAAGCACGCCGCCUGGGGAGUACGGUCGC
Molecule: ribosomal RNA, 770 nt
Filed under: uncultured bacterium
Lineage: Bacteria
Description: bacterial SSU rRNA
Rfam family: Bacterial small subunit ribosomal RNA
Source: RNAcentral